GUAGGUGGCAAGCGUUGUCCGGAAUUAUUGGGCGUAAAGCGCGCGCAGGCGGUUCGUUUAAGUCUGAUGUGAAAGCCCACGGGCUCAACCGUGGAGGGUCAUUGGAAACUGGAGAACUUGAGUACAGAAGAGGAAAGCGGAAUUCCACGUGUAGCGGUGAAAUGCGUAGAGAUGUGGAGGAACACCAGUGGCGAAGGCGGCUUUCUGGUCUGUAACUGACGCUGAGGCGCGAAAGCGUGGGGAGCAAACAGGAUUAGAUACCCUGGUAGUCCACGCCGUAAACGAUGAGUGCUAAGUGUUAGGGGGUUUCCGCCCCUUAGUGCUGCAGCUAACGCAUUAAGCACUCCGCCUGGGGAGUACGGCCGCAAAGGCUA
RNAcentral lists this ribosomal RNA (374 nucleotides) under uncultured organism. RNAcentral's name for it is "partial 16S ribosomal RNA". It matches the Rfam family "Bacterial small subunit ribosomal RNA", at positions 527 to 896 of the family's 1533-position model. The record is from RNAcentral.